Non-coding RNA from Leptonychotes weddellii (Weddell seal), 868 nucleotides. The record is from RefSeq and is a predicted model, not a curated record. Lineage: Eukaryota; Metazoa; Chordata; Mammalia; Carnivora; Phocidae.
GACAUAUUUAUUAAAUAAGGCCUUUGCUUUCUUCUCAGAUUGAUGCCUCAUCGUUUACUUUGACAUUCUUUGGUCAAGGAUACAGCCAAGGCUUUAGUCCUGAGAAGAACAAACCGAACAUGAGAAUUUGUACUCAGGUGAAAGGACCAGAGGCUGGCUAUGUGGCCACCUCCAUAGCCAUGGUCCAGGCAGCCAUGACUCUUCUAAAUGAUAUCUCUGAUCUUCCGAAGACGGGCGGGGUCUUCACCCCUGGAGCAGCCUUCUCCAGAACAAAGUUGAUUGACAGACUCAACCAACGCGGCAUUGAAUUUAGUGUCAUUAGCAGCUCUGAAGUCUAAACAGUUGAAGAAUUACCUGAAGGCAUAAAAUGCAUGAAUUAACGGCUUUUUUAAAUUUUAAAUUUUAAAUUCUUCUAUAUCCUGACUAUAUGUUAAAGAUUGUCAAAUAUAAAAUAUGUACACAUUAAAAGCAGGAAAUUGUACUAGCUUACCCUAAAUUUCAAAUCUUAGCUGAUUUCGUGAUUUUAUUGCUCGUGAGAGAGAACUAAUCUUUGACUUUUUCACUGAAGAAUUCAUGGUCAAUUUUUAAACAUGAGCUGGCAGAUCAGAGGCUGGGGUGGGGGUCUCCCUCUGUGCUGCUGACAGGCCCCAGAUGAGGUGCUCAGGCUGGUGGUCUUGGGAGGCGGUAACCGCCACUCUCCUUUUGCCGUGGUGUUGAACGGGACCUCACCUUCUAAGUUUCUCUACAUACUCUUCGGGCCUUUGCCAAAUGAAACUGCAUUUUUUGCUAUUUUAGCCUAGUUUUUCACCCAUAGACACUGAUUUUUUGACUAUUACCUAAGUUGAAUAAUAAAGGGUUGUCACUUGAA